AUGAUUAGUGGCGGACGGGUGAGUAACAUUUAGGAAUCUACCUAGUAGUGGGGGAUAGCUCGGGGAAACUCGAAUUAAUACCGCAUACGACCUACGGGUGAAAGGGGGCGCAAGCUCUUGCUAUUAGAUGAGCCUAAAUCAGAUUAGCUAGUUGGUGGGGUAAAGGCCCACCAAGGCGACGAUCUGUAACUGGUCUGAGAAGAUGAUCAGUCACACCGGAACUGAGACACGGUCCGG
RNAcentral lists this ribosomal RNA (237 nucleotides) under uncultured Pseudomonadales bacterium. RNAcentral's name for it is "partial 16S ribosomal RNA". It matches the Rfam family "Bacterial small subunit ribosomal RNA", at positions 88 to 334 of the family's 1533-position model. Lineage: Bacteria; Pseudomonadati; Pseudomonadota; Gammaproteobacteria; Pseudomonadales. The record is from RNAcentral.